This 66-nucleotide transfer RNA is filed under the name Brachyplatys subaeneus. RNAcentral's name for it is "tRNA-Thr". The record is from RNAcentral. Lineage: Eukaryota; Metazoa; Arthropoda; Insecta; Hemiptera; Plataspidae.
GUUUUAAUAAUUUAAAUAAAUAAAAUAAUGAUUUUGUAAAUCAUAAAUAGGCUAUCCUUUAAAACU